GACGAACGCUGGCGGCGUGCUUAACACAUGCAAGUCGAACGGAAAGGCCCUGCUUUUGUGGGGUGCUCGAGUGGCGAACGGGUGAGUAACACGUGAGUAACCUGCCCUUGACUUUGGGAUAACUUCAGGAAACUGGGGCUAAUACCGGAUAGGAGCUCCUGCUGCAUGGUGGGGGUUGGAAAGUUUCGGCGGUUGGGGAUGGACUCGCGGCUUAUCAGCUUGUUGGUGGGGUAGUGGCUUACCAAGGCUUUCACGGGUAGCCGGCCUGAGAGGGUGACCGGCCACAUUGGGACUGAGAUACGGCCCAGACUCCUACGGGAGGCAGCAGUGGGGAAUAUUGCACAAUGGGCGGAAGCCUGAUGCAGCAACGCCGCGUGCGGGAUGACGGCCUUCGGGUUGUAAACCGCUUUCGCCUGUGACGAAGCGUGAGUGACGGUAAUGGGUAAAGAAGCACCGGCUAACUACGU
Molecule: ribosomal RNA, 467 nt
Filed under: uncultured bacterium
Lineage: Bacteria
Description: partial 16S ribosomal RNA
Rfam family: Bacterial small subunit ribosomal RNA
Source: RNAcentral